GCGAGUGUAGUUUAGUGGUAAAACUACAGCCUUCCAAGCUGUUGUCGCGAGUUCGAUUCUCGUCACCCGCU
Molecule: transfer RNA, 71 nt
Filed under: Streptococcus agalactiae
Lineage: Bacteria; Bacillati; Bacillota; Bacilli; Lactobacillales; Streptococcaceae
Also listed under: 1 other name
Description: tRNA-Gly
Rfam family: tRNA
About the family: Transfer RNA (tRNA) molecules are approximately 80 nucleotides in length. Their secondary structure includes four short double-helical elements and three loops (D, anti-codon, and T loops). Further hydrogen bonds mediate the characteristic L-shaped molecular structure. tRNAs have two regions of fundamental functional importance: the anti-codon, which is responsible for specific mRNA codon recognition, and the 3' end, to which the tRNAs corresponding amino acid is attached (by aminoacyl-tRNA synthetases). tRNAs cope with the degeneracy of the genetic code in two manners: having more than one tRNA (with a specific anti-codon) for a particular amino acid; and 'wobble' base-pairing, i.e. permitting non-standard base-pairing at the 3rd anti-codon position.
Source: RNAcentral